This 378-nucleotide ribosomal RNA is filed under the name Helicobacter pylori. Its description in RNAcentral is "bacterial LSU rRNA". It matches the Rfam family "Bacterial large subunit ribosomal RNA", at positions 1855 to 2229 of the family's 2925-position model. Lineage: Bacteria; Pseudomonadati; Campylobacterota; Epsilonproteobacteria; Campylobacterales; Helicobacteraceae. The record is from RNAcentral.
ACGCCUGCCCGGUGCUCGAAGGUUAAAGGAUGCGUCAGUCGCAAGAUGAAGCGUUGAAUUGAAGCCCGAGUAAACGGCGGCCGUAACUAUAACGGUCCUAAGGUAGCGAAAUUCCUUGUCGGUUAAAUACCGACCUGCAUGAAUGGCGUAACGAGAUGGGAGCUGUCUCAACCAGAGAUUCAGUGAAAUUGUAGUGGAGGUGAAAAUUCCUCCUACCCGCGGCAAGACGGAAAGACCCCGUGGACCUUUACUACAACUUAGCACUGCUAAUGGGAAUAUCAUGCGCAGGAUAGGUGGGAGGCUUUGAAGUACCGGGGCUUUGGCUCUUAUGGAGCCAUCCUUGAGAUACCACCCUUGAUGUUUCUGUUAGCUAACUGG